Molecule: small nuclear RNA, 113 nt
Organism: Neoarius graeffei (lesser salmon catfish)
Lineage: Eukaryota; Metazoa; Chordata; Actinopteri; Siluriformes; Ariidae
Product: U5 spliceosomal RNA
Exons: 1
Source: RefSeq, a predicted model, not a curated record
UAGCUCAGGUUUCUCUUCAUUGACGCAUAAAUCUUUUGUCUUUUAUUAAAGACGUCUGUGGAGAGAAAUGUUUAUGAGAGAGAUAUUUCAGUGAAGCUGGCUUCUAAAGCUUC